CCUACGGGUGGCUGCAGUAAGGGAUAUUGGUCAAUGGGGGAAACCCUGAACCAGCAACGCCGCGUGAGGGAAGACGGUUUUCGGAUUGUAAACCUCUGUCCUCUGUGAAGAUGAUGACGGUAGCAGAGGAGGAAGCUCCGGCUAACUACGUGCCAGCAGCCGCGGUAAUACGGAGGAUCCGAGCGUUAUCCGGAUUUAUUGGGUUAAAAGGGAGCGUAGGUGGAUUGUUAAGUCAGUGGUCAAAUUGAGGGGCUCAACCCCUUCCCGCCAUUGAAACUGGCGCUCUUGAGUGGAAGAGAAGUAUGCGGAAUGCGUGGUGUAGCGGUGAAAUGCAUAGAUAUCACGCAGAACCCCGAUGGCGAAGGCAGCAUGCCGGCUUCCGACUGACGCUGAAGCACGAAAGCGUGGGGAUCGAACAGGAUUAGAUACCCGUGUAGUC
This 439-nucleotide ribosomal RNA is filed under the name uncultured bacterium. RNAcentral's name for it is "partial 16S ribosomal RNA". It matches the Rfam family "Bacterial small subunit ribosomal RNA", at positions 338 to 795 of the family's 1533-position model. The record is from RNAcentral.